RNAcentral lists this transfer RNA (70 nucleotides) under Anniella geronimensis. RNAcentral's name for it is "tRNA-Tyr". The record is from RNAcentral. Lineage: Eukaryota; Metazoa; Chordata; Lepidosauria; Squamata; Anniellidae.
GACAAGGAAAGGAAUUAAACCCCUCUAAGCAGGACUACAGCCUGCCGCCUAAACACUCGGCCACCUUACC